This 1938-nucleotide long non-coding RNA is filed under the name Mus musculus (house mouse). RNAcentral's name for it is "RIKEN cDNA D030045P18 gene". The record is from RNAcentral. Lineage: Eukaryota; Metazoa; Chordata; Mammalia; Rodentia; Muridae.
GGUCUUUACUGCUGUAGAUUUGGCUAGAGCUAGAGGCUUACCUUAGCAUUCUUGGGUUUCCCAGAUUCCUCACUGUCUACCUGACUGUGCAGUAGACCCUGGCUCAUCAGGAGUAAGAAACCAUGACAGAAGAAAGAUCAGCACAUCCCUGAGCCUUUAUCAAAGAGACCGAGAGAUGGAGUAAAGUACUUCAACUAACCACGUCUUUCAGUCUGUCCUCGAGAGUGCAAAGAAGGGCUGUAGGAAGAGGAAACAUCAGAGGCUGCAAAGAAGAGGAAGAGGCUGAAAUAGAGAGACUGGCACAGGGCAAGUGCUGUCUGGGACUGAGGGAAAAUGACAACAAACAAUUCGACCUUGCACUUACUUCAAGAUCCUCUACCCAGCACUGCCUUAAGAGCUCCAUUUCGGCACUCAGAUUAAAGUGCUGCAGCUCAAAACACAGCCUUGCCAACUUGGCUCCAGGGAAGGAGCAGCCAUUGGAACAAUGCAGGCAAUUUAAUCGUGUUGCAGAGAGGAGUAAGCCCAAGUCUGGAGGCUUUACUGGAACGGAAUGCAAUUCCCUCGUCCCAGUAGGAAGAAUGAAAGUGGGGCUGAGGUGGACAAAAGACAACAUCCAAAAUGACAUAAAAAUUAACCACCCAACUCAAUGAAUUACCCACGAGAUAAUGGGAUAAAUGUUUGUGAGUCAGACCAAAGAGCAAAAACAGAACAGAAAGAAAGAAUUCUCAACUGUAGGCUGAAACCUUUCUACUUCGUUCUGUGAGGCAAAAUCUCAGUCUCUCUCUUUCCACUUAAGUUCAGGUUUUAAAACUCGGUUGUUCUCUAUGGAAUUGAAGCCUGUGUAGACCAUUGUGUGUAGCUGUAUUUCAAAUACUGUUCUCUCUGUUAUCACUCAAACUCCUAGUUAUUCAGUUUGACCUGAAGUUAAAGAACAGAAUUGUUUCAUGCUUUAAAAUUACUUCCCACUAUUUUAUAGAGAUAAAAACAAGUUAUGAAAAAAAAACCCUUAGGUAUAAGCCAAGUUAGAGUUCAUAAUUAAGAUUACCAGAAUAAAAACCAUAGUCAUAUGUCUGUUCCCCUAUUUCUCAUCCUAAAUAUGUUUUUUUUGGUGGGGGGCAGUUUAGUUAAACAUAAAAUGUUUAUUGUCCAUUGCUGUAGUAAAAAUUACUUGGGGGUUAACCCCAUUCUUGAUCAUAUUGUUCCUAAGUAAAUGACACAACCCUUUAUAUUUAUAAUAAUCUUUAAAGCACUAGAGCUGGGAAGAUGUCAACUCUCCAUGGUAUUUUGUCUAAUUCACUAAAUCUGAGAUAUCACUUGCUAUGUUCCCCUUGGUCCUCUCCAACUCGGACUGGCCAGCCCUCGUGGCCGUGUUCUCACUAGCCACCUAUCCAAUGUCAUCUUCUCCCCUCUCCUCUCUCUUCUUCUCCUCAUGGUCUCUGCCUCAGACUCCAAUUCUGGGAACCAAAGCUCUGCCUACCUCUCUUCUGCCCAGCCAUAGGUUGUAGGCUUCUUUUUUUAGCCAAUGGUUUUAAAUUAAGGAGCAAGGUUGCAUAGCAUCACUUGGUAUAUAUGCAGAUGUGCUUGUCAAGGACAGCAACAUCUUGAGAAGCCAGUAUUUAGCAUUAGAAUAUAAGCAUCAUCAGACUCACCCUCUACAGUCCAUUGUACCUAUGAUAAUACAAUAAACAAUGAUUAAGCAGCCUGUAUUUGAUUGGUUAUGAUGUGGUACCAUGGGAGUGAUGGCUCAAUGGUUAAGAGAACUUGCUACUUUUCCAGUGGACCCGAGUUCAUGUUUCUUCACCUGUGUCAGGCUGAUUAUAACUACCUGAAAUGCCCAGGGGAAAUGAUGUCCUCUUCUGGCAUCUGCACACACGAGACACACAACACAUGGGACACACAUGCACGUAACUAAAAAAUCUGUUAUAAAGAAAAACUAAU